CAGCAGCCGCCGCGGUAAUACGGAGGAUCCAAGCGUUAUCCGGAAUCAUUGGGUUUAAAGGGUCCGUAGGCGGUCUUGUAAGUCAGUGGUGAAAGCCCAUCGCUCAACGGUGGAACGGCCAUUGAUACUGCAGGACUUGAAUUAUUGGGAAGUAACUAGAAUAUGUAGUGUAGCGGUGAAAUGCUUAGAGAUUACAUGGAAUACCAAUUGCGAAGGCAGGUUACUACCAAUUGAUUGACGCUGAUGGACGAAAGCGUGGGUAGCGAACAGGAUUAGAUACCCCGGUAGUCCCUGUCUCUUAUAC
This 304-nucleotide ribosomal RNA is filed under the name uncultured bacterium. Its description in RNAcentral is "partial 16S ribosomal RNA". It matches the Rfam family "Bacterial small subunit ribosomal RNA", at positions 506 to 807 of the family's 1533-position model. The record is from RNAcentral.